AUGACUAUACUUUCAGGGAUCAUUUCUACAGUUUGUUAUUUUAUUUUAUAUAAUGAUUUUAUUUAUUUGAGGGGGGGAGGGGCAAAGGGAGAGGAAGAAGCAGGGUCCCCACUGAGCAGGGAGCCCGACUCGGGACUCGAUCCCAGGACCCUGGGAUCAUGACCUGAGCUGA
Molecule: small nucleolar RNA, 172 nt
Filed under: Zalophus californianus (California sea lion)
Lineage: Eukaryota; Metazoa; Chordata; Mammalia; Carnivora; Otariidae
Also listed under: 1 other name
Description: Small nucleolar RNA U3 (ENSZCAG00015006113.1)
Rfam family: Small nucleolar RNA U3
About the family: Small nucleolar RNAs (snoRNAs) are involved in the processing and modification of rRNA in the nucleolus.
Source: RNAcentral